Molecule: non-coding RNA, 418 nt
Organism: Cyanistes caeruleus (blue tit)
Lineage: Eukaryota; Metazoa; Chordata; Aves; Passeriformes; Paridae
Source: RefSeq, a predicted model, not a curated record
UGUUCCAGCUCGGGCUUAUCUGCACUAUGAAACCUGAAUAUCAGCAGGGCUUCGGGGAUGAGGCUGCCCUGGCUCCCUCAGCACAGAACAUUCAACCAGGGAUUGUGCUGCGAGUGCUGCUGCUCUGUUUUUCUCUGGUGCAAAAGCCAAAGGAUGAACCCUUGUUUUACUGAACACGGGUCUCCUUAGGACAGCCUAUGAGCUGUUAUGGGGAAGAAAAAAACCCCAGAAUGAAGUGAAAACUGGUUUGUCAGGAGAGAGUUGGAGGCUGCUCUGUGUCCCCCUCACCCUGGCCAAGGCUGGUGCAGUCCCUGAGGGGAUACCCGGUGUCCCCAUGGAGCAUUCAGCCCAUCCAGACUUAAAGUGCCCAAGAAUCCCAAGACAGUGGUUGGGCCCUGGCACAGGUUGUGCAAGGCAG